Molecule: long non-coding RNA, 1594 nt
Organism: Oncorhynchus nerka (sockeye salmon)
Lineage: Eukaryota; Metazoa; Chordata; Actinopteri; Salmoniformes; Salmonidae
Exons: 4
Source: RefSeq, a predicted model, not a curated record
GUCUCUUUCUCUCUUCUCUACUCUUCUCAGUGUGUGUUUGUGGGUCGAGCUAGCUACCAGUCAAUCACUUAGAGAUAGGUAGGACGUACAGCCAGAGGAAACAGACAUACAACUCCUAACAGAGAUGUCUGGUGGUCCCCUCUCCUCCUUCUCCAAACAGGGAAUACUCCUACUCUCUAUCCUCCACUAUGGGACCUGGGCUGAUGUCCCUCCGAUAGACCAGUAUGGCUUGAAGGGAGGUUCGGUAUGUGUGGCUGUUGCAGAACCCCCUGAUCAACUUAAAGGAAUUACAUGGAAGUUCCGAAAGGAUGUAAUAGUUGAUGAUAAAGAGAUCUCUCCUAAAUACAAGGAGAAGAUGGAUUAUAACCCAGUGAACCACACUCUGUGCAUUAAGAAUCUGACAGACACAGACAGUGGAAUUUACAGGCUGGAUGUUUUCUGUCUGUGAUGGAGGUCAGUGCCCACUGUACCAGGAUUCUCUGUCAGUCUCUGAGGUCAACAUCACUGUUUCCAGUGGUAAUGGAUUCAUCCAGUGUAUCGUCAACAAUCAUGUCAGCACAGAGACCAAAUCACAACGCAUGAAUGACAUAUGUAUUGCUGAGAAGAAGGGGAUCGCUGCAGCAUCACUAGUUGGCAUCAUUGUGGGCAUUGUUACUGGUGGAUUAUUCUUAGUUGGUGUAGGAUGCAUCAUAUCAACCAGAAGAUGGCGAUCCCCUAAAGAAAUACUGCUUCUGAAGGCCGUUGUUCCAGAAGUUGACAACCCAGUGAGCGCUAUACCAGGAAGACCAGAACCACAGAACACCCCUGGAUCUGAGGUGACAUCUAUCUACAUUACUGCUGGGAGACCAGGAGAAGUACCAGCAUCAGCAGAAGGAGAAGAGGGGCAUCCAGGGGACAAGGAGUACACUUCACCAGAAGAGAGGAUAGAACCACAGGCAGAGACAUUCUACAGCACCCUACAGCUACCAGCUGCAGCACAGCGCCACCCAGUGGGCGAAGGAAAUAAUGUAAAGAGCCAGACACGGUGUACUGCACAAUAGGAUAUUACCCCUCCAUCCUUCUGAGACCCACUGAUAUUACUUUGAUAAAGAUUUAACCCAUAGACUCAGGUACAGAAUGCAAACACAGGGGAAAUUAUGAAGGAGAGAAUCAUGAUAAUGGGUUUUUAACAUUUCCGUCUAAUUUCAUCCAUAUUUAAAGUGGCAAUCUGCAAUUCCUACGUACUUUUAAUUGAAUUGUAUAUAACUAUUAAUCCAUGCAGAAUACAACAUAUGCUUGUUUAAUUCCAUUGUUUGUUAAAACUGUAUUUGUAAAUCAAUUGGUGGCAGGGUACCCGCGUUGUUAUUAUUUAGACUACAGAUUUCCCCUUUAGCGAUAGAAAGUAUGUAAAACAGUCUUAUUUUCUGUAAACGAAAAUGGAAACAUGCAGAUGAAUACAGUAGCGCUAUACAUGCUUUAAAAAGUGUUUAUACACAAAGCAUCGGUUUGAAAAUGGGAAGCCCAUCCUUUCAAUCAAUCAAUCAAAUCGACCAAUCAAUAAAUACAUGUAUAUACAUAAACCAAUCAUUAAAUGAAUAAAUAAAUCAAGCAACAA